AUAUACAUACACACCCAUAUAC
RNAcentral lists this microRNA (22 nucleotides) under Mus musculus (house mouse). RNAcentral describes it as "mmu-miR-669d-2-3p". Its record names the gene mmu-miR-669d-2-3p. The record is from miRBase by way of RNAcentral. Lineage: Eukaryota; Metazoa; Chordata; Mammalia; Rodentia; Muridae.